CCCUUAGAUGUUCUGGGCCGCACGCGCGCUACACUGAUGCAUUCAACGAGCCUAUCCUUGACCGACAGGUCCGGGUAAUCUUUGAAUCUGCAUCGUGACGGGGAUAGAUUAUUGCAAUUAUUAAUCUUCAACGAGGAAUGCCUAAUAGGCGCAAGUCAUCAGCUUGCGUCGAUUACGUCCCUGCCCUUUGUACACACCGCCCGUCGCUCCUACCGAUUGGGUGUGCUGGUGAAAUGUUCGGAUCGGCCGUUUGUCGCGGUUUCCGCGUCAUGUGGCUGAGAAGUUCAUUAAACCCUCCCACCUAGAGGAAGGAGAAGUCGUAACA
RNAcentral lists this ribosomal RNA (325 nucleotides) under uncultured eukaryote. RNAcentral describes it as "partial 18S ribosomal RNA". It matches the Rfam family "Eukaryotic small subunit ribosomal RNA", at positions 1470 to 1796 of the family's 1831-position model. The record is from RNAcentral.